UACGUAGGGCGCAAGCGUUAUCCGGAAUUAUUGGGCGUAAAGAGCUCGUAGGCGGUUUGUCGCGUCUGCCGUGAAAGUCCGGGGCUCAACUCCGGAUCUGCGGUGGGUACGGGCAGACUAGAGUGAUGUAGGGGAGACUGGAAUUCCUGGUGUAGCGGUGAAAUGCGCAGAUAUCAGGAGGAACACCGAUGGCGAAGGCAGGUCUCUGGGCAUUACCUGACGCUGAGGAGCGAAAGCAUGGGGAGCGAACGGG
Molecule: ribosomal RNA, 253 nt
Filed under: uncultured bacterium
Lineage: Bacteria
Description: partial 16S ribosomal RNA
Rfam family: Bacterial small subunit ribosomal RNA
Source: RNAcentral